UGAGGAAUAUUGGACAAUGGGGGCAACCCUGAUCCAGCCAUGCCGCGUGAGUGAAGAAGGCCUUCGGGUUGUAAAGCUCUUUCAGUCGUGAAGAUUAUGACGGUAACGACAGAAGAAGCCCCGGCUAACUUCGUGCCAGCAGCCGCGGUAAUACGAAGGGGGCGAGCGUUGUUCGGAAUCACUGGGCGUAAAGCGUGCGUAGGCGGACAAGCAAGUCAGAUGUGAAAGCCCAGGGCUCAACCCUGGAACUGCAUUUGAAACUGCAUGUCUAGAGUCCGGAAGAGGUAAGCGGAACUCCGAGUGUAGAGGUGAAAUUCGCAGAUAUUCGGAAGAACACCAGUGGCGAAGGCGGCUUACUGGACCGGAACUGACGCUGAGGCACGAAAGCGUGGGGAGCAAACA
Molecule: ribosomal RNA, 402 nt
Filed under: uncultured bacterium
Lineage: Bacteria
Description: bacterial SSU rRNA
Rfam family: Bacterial small subunit ribosomal RNA
Source: RNAcentral